This is an RNA transcript of Parus major (Great Tit), 1503 nucleotides long. It is a transcript of the gene named tyrosylprotein sulfotransferase 1, with no coding region annotated. The transcript has 6 exons. The record is from RefSeq and is a predicted model, not a curated record. NCBI's taxonomy places the organism in Eukaryota, Metazoa, Chordata, Aves, Passeriformes, Paridae.
AUGCUGCCCAAGAUGGUCGGGAAGCUGAAGCAGAACCUGCUGCUGGCGUGCCUGGUGAUCAGCUCGGUGACCGUGUUCUACCUGGGCCAGCACGCCAUGGAGUGCCACCACCGCAUGGAGCAGCGUGGGCAGCCCCCACGGGGGGACAGUGCCAGGGCCACCCUGGGGACAGCCCCCAGUGCCAGCACCAACAGAAGCCUGCCCUACAGCAAGGACAUGCCCCUGAUCUUCAUCGGGGGAGUGCCCCGCAGCGGCACCACGCUGAUGCGCGCCAUGCUGGACGCGCACCCCGAUAUCCGCUGCGGGGAGGAGACCAGGGUGAUCCCCAGGAUCCUGGCUGUGAAGCAGAUGUGGGCCAGGUCCAGCAAGGAGAAAAUCCGCCUGGAUGAGGCCGGGGUCACGGAUGAGGUGCUGGAUUCAGCCAUGCAGGCGUUUUUGUUGGAGAUCAUCGUCAAACACGGCGAGCCCGCUCCCUAUUUGUGUAACAAGGAUCCCUUUGCUUUAAAAUCCCUAACUUAUCUCGCCAGAAUUUUCCCCAAUGCCAAAUUCCUGCUGAUGGUCCGGGAUGGCCGUGCAUCUGUGCAUUCCAUGAUCUCCAGGAAAGUCACAAUAGCUGGCUUUGACCUGAACAGCUACAGGGACUGCCUGACCAAGUGGAACCGGGCCAUAGAAACCAUGUACAACCAGUGCAUGGAGGUGGGCUUUGGCAGGUGCAUGCUGGUGCACUAUGAACAGCUGGUCCUGCACCCUGAGAGGUGGAUGAGGACUCUCCUCAAGUUCCUGCACAUCCCAUGGAACCAGGCAGUGCUGCACCAUGAGGAGAUGAUUGGAAAAGCUGGGGGGGUUUCUCUUUCCAAAGUUGAAAGAUCCACUGACCAAGUGAUCAAGCCAGUGAAUGUGGAAGCCUUGUCCAAGUGGGUUGGGAAGAUCCCAGCUGAUGUCCUGCAGGACAUGCCAGUGAUUGCCCCCAUGCUGGCCAAACUGGGCUAUGACCCCUAUGCCAACCCCCCCAAUUAUGGGAAGCCAGAUCAGAAAGUGGUGGAAAACACAAGGAGGGUCUAUAAAGGUGAAUUUCAGCUUCCUGACUUCCUCAAAGAAGUGCCACAGCCAAAGAAGACAGUAGAAAGGAAGUCUCGUGGCAAGAUAAAAUGAACGUGGAUCAGUGAAGUGGCAUAGCUGUAACUGAACCUAUGGAAUAGAGGAUAAAAUGGACAUUUCUUGCACAGAAGGUGAUCAACUGCUGCCUUUUCCAUGGGAAUGAUCCCUCAGGCCUGGCCCCUGGGAUCAGAGGUGUGCUGCUCAUGGCCUGCUCUCUUCAGAAUGUUCUCUCCUGUUUCUUUCAUCCUGUUUUUGUUCUGUAUUUUGCUGUUGUGAGCGCAUGUAAACCUUAUAAAAAAACAACAAAAAAAAAAUCACUGAUGUUAAUGUAGAACUGCAUUACAUUCGCACAACUAUUUUUUUAAGGUUUUAAAAAAUGCAAAAGCAAUGCCUGUCUCUGAAAUU